UGUUUCUUGUUUGUAUUUGUAGUCUGGAUAUCAUUUAAAACAAGUUGCGCCUCAUUCUUUUACUUGUCAGAAGCUUAGUCAAAUUUCAGUACACAUACAUCACAAAGAUGAUUCUAAAGAGCCCAUUCCUUCUGUUCUGUUGUCUUUGAGUGGUGACAAUGGUUAUAGAAACAACUCAGUAUCAGGAGCUGGUAGGACAUUCCUGUUUGACAAUUUGUUUCCUGGAAUGUUUUAUUUGCGUCCUGUUUUGAAGAGUAAAUUAUCGGGCAAUUAUGUAAGAAUAGUUCAAAGUGAGUACUCUGAAUCACGUCAAAGGACUUUAGAUAGAGCUUAUGAUGAAAUUAAAUAUUUAAGUUUUGGCCUUGGAGUUAAUGAUGAACGUAUGGCUGAACAAGCUUUGACCUUUUAUAAAGUAAGGACCAGUUUUGACUUACUCAUUUUAAACUUGAUUUCUAUUUAUUUGC
Long non-coding RNA from Glycine soja, 464 nucleotides. RefSeq lists it as uncharacterized. The record is from RefSeq and is a predicted model, not a curated record. NCBI's taxonomy places the organism in Eukaryota, Viridiplantae, Streptophyta, Magnoliopsida, Fabales, Fabaceae. The transcript is spliced from 3 exons.